UCAUGUGAUCUUUAGAUAUUAAGUUAAAAAUAAAGGUACAAAUUGUUAAAAAUGAUUAAGUACGAAGAGAUAUUUUUUUGGACACACAGAUGAGGUUUUCGCUCACAAUAAAAUUUCUAUCAUCCAAAAUUAGCAAUUAGCAUUACACAAAACAUUGCACGUAAUGUUAAGAAAAAAUUUAAGCGUUUCUGACUAUGAUAUAGAAAUCAUAACAAUUGAAAUAAAUAAUAAUAAAAAACAAUACAUGAUCAGAAGUGAAUUAUUUAAAUUUACGUCAUAACCAAAUAACUUGUGGUGAUCGAAUGGAAGAAGAAUCGCUGAUAUCACGAUUGUGGAGAAACAAGUUAGUGGGCGGUUGUUUACUUUACCAUAAAAAUGUCUUAACUUUAUUUUAACGAUCUUUAAAAUUUGCAUAAAUAGAGUAGAUAUUUUAUCAUUGCUAUUGAGAAAUAGGUACUGCAUAAAUAGAACUUGUUUUUAGUUGAGUAUGGAACAAAACAAAUAUUUUUAUGAAAACUGUUGUUGCUUUUCAAAAGGAAAUUGUGGAUCAUUCAAAAAACAUAAAAUUAUAAACAAAAUGUUCUACAUUCAUCAGCUGGGAGAUGUUGAUGUUAAGAAACACCUCAUCAACUUAAAGGUCAUGCGAUUAAACGAUAAUAAUAUUUGGGAAGAAAAUGGACUUAUUGCAAAUAGACUUAAAAGAAAUCUU
Non-coding RNA from Hydra vulgaris (swiftwater hydra), 709 nucleotides. Lineage: Eukaryota; Metazoa; Cnidaria; Hydrozoa; Anthoathecata; Hydridae. The record is from RefSeq and is a predicted model, not a curated record.